UGGAGCGGGACGGGGGUUAUGAACCCGUGGUACAUGAGCCUCUCGAGGGGCGCCUCGCAGUUGAACGGGUGUUUUCCGGUGAGUCGGAUCAUCGACGGGUUUCGCUCGAUCCAGUUGUCGGAGGUGGCUUCGUCUCGUGGGUCCAGUAUCGACGGCUCCAGCUCGCUGUUUCCCUUUCGGAUCAGAUCUCCGUAGUGAGUGACGUCAUCUUCAUCGUCAUCGUCGGAGGAGGAAUCUUGAGGAAUGACAUUGACGGCGGGUUUGGAGUUGGAGAAGCGGUAAGGGACUGUGGUGGCGGCGGUGGGAGUGGGUUUGAAAGGACGAACGCCGUUUAAGGAAGGUGGUGGCUGGAGGUGGAACUGGUGGCGGUUGUCGACGGAAGCCGCCAUUAGUGAGAGGACUCCGACUGAGGAUUGGAAUCAGUUUGGAGAUUUGGUGGUCUGCCGGUUAGCUGAAAUUAUGGUGGAGAAAUGGGGGAGGGGGAGAGUAUAUAUAUAGGAGAGAAAGUUGGAACGCGUCAAAGGGUGGAGAAGUGGGACCCACUUUUAUUUCAUUUAUCUUUUUAAAAUUUAUUGUGUGGCUUCUGAUUUCCUUUUCUGUGGUACAAAGAUUUUAAUUUUUUCCUUCCGUUUCAAGAAUCUUUUGUAAUAUAUAUUUUUUUUUGUUGUAUAUGGUAAUAUAUGUAAUAAUAAUAACAUACUAUAUUAUUGUUAUUAUUUCCUAUUUUUUUAUACAAAUGAUAAAAAUUUGUAACUACAUAUUUUAACCAGAUGACUUUGUAAAGAUUAUUGUUCUAACUAUUUACAAUCCUAUUUGAAAAAAGAGAGACAAAAUAAAGUUUAUCUAAUUAUAAAGCAGACAUAAAAUAUCGCCGAAUUUAUGAGUGUAAGAACACUGAGAUAUUUUUCGUGAUACCAUUAAAUAAAUUAUAUAAUAAUACAUACCUAGUUUGUUCCAAUAGUACAUAACUUGCAUCUUUCAACUGCUUUCGCCAUUGGUCUCUUGCAAACUAUUUGGAAGCUCUGGCAAACUAAGUAUCUAAAAAAUAAGCAUUUCGGUAAUCUUUAGUACCUCUUUAUUAACUUCCUCGUACGUUUCACAAAGAACCACUCAGAAAUGCUCAACAAUGUUCUACUCAAUUCUCCGAUCGAACUAUUUUAUUAUAGCCCACACGACAUUUUUGGCGGGAGACGUAGCAAAUUAAUUUUUGUGCUUAAAGUGUAAAAGUAAUAAUAAAGUAUAAAAAUCUACCAAAAUAAUCUUUUUUUAGGGACGGCAAUGAGAAGUACAAAAGCGAGUUGUCUACGCCUCUACGACCACUUGGCUAUGUAGACAAUAUGUCUAUGGGCGUUCUAAGGUACGACAAUUAUUCAAAGCAUGCACAGAAAUAUUUGUCGAUAUAUUACUAGGCAUGAGAUUUCCUUGCUUCAGUAACGUACGGUUAGAAUCCAUGAACAUUAUAUAUAUAUAUAGAGUAUACUUGCUCGUCUUUGGAUACUGUAUGUUUGAAACCAUAGGCUUGAGUUUUAAUAAUAGAACGUGGUAUUGCAAUCUUGAAGAAAAGGAUAGAUAGAUGGGUUUGUGUAAUAAGUGAUUUAAGUACAAUACUGUGGUGCAGAAGGCAACAACCG
Molecule: long non-coding RNA, 1631 nt
Filed under: Linum usitatissimum (flax)
Lineage: Eukaryota; Viridiplantae; Streptophyta; Magnoliopsida; Malpighiales; Linaceae
Description: long non-coding RNA (LUSI_LNC005425)
Source: RNAcentral